Molecule: ribosomal RNA, 422 nt
Filed under: Syllis lutea
Lineage: Eukaryota; Metazoa; Annelida; Polychaeta; Phyllodocida; Syllidae
Description: partial 16S ribosomal RNA
Rfam family: Bacterial large subunit ribosomal RNA
Source: RNAcentral
UCAACGGCCGCGGUAUCCUGACCGUGCAAAGGUAGCACAAUAAUGAGCCUCUUAAUUAGAGGAUAGAAUGAAUGAAAUAACAAGAUAAAUUCUGUCUCUUAUAUAAAAAUCGAAACUUAUCAUUAGGUGAAAAAGCCUAUAUUCCACACAAAGACAAAAAGACCCUUAAAGCUUAAAUAAAACAUAAUUACAUUUAUUAUCUAAAUUUAGUUGGGGCGACUAUAAGAAUUAAACACUUUGUACAUAUAGGGAAAUGUUCCAAUCAUAAUAGCUACUCACAAACAAGUAAGCUACUUUAGGGAUAACAGGCCAGUACUUCCUAAGAGUACGUAUCAACGGAAGUGUUCAGCACCUCGAUGUUGGCUUAGGGUUCCUACUUUAUGCAGAAGUAAUUUAAGGCGGUUUGUUCAACCUUUAAUCCC